This 252-nucleotide ribosomal RNA is filed under the name uncultured bacterium. RNAcentral describes it as "partial 16S ribosomal RNA". It matches the Rfam family "Bacterial small subunit ribosomal RNA", at positions 524 to 776 of the family's 1533-position model. The record is from RNAcentral.
UACGUAGGGCGCAAGCGUUGUCCGGAAUUAUUGGGCGUAAAGAGCUCGUAGGCGGUCUGUCGCGUCUGUUGUGAAAACUCGAGGCUCAACCUCGGGCUUGCAGUGGAUACGGGCAGACUAGAGUGCGGUAGGGGAGACUGGAAUUCCUGGUGUAGCGGUGGAAUGCGCAGAUAUCAGGAGGAACACCGGUGCGCGAAGGCGGGUCUCUGGGCCGAACUGACGCUGAGGAGCGAAGCAUGGGGAGCGAACAGG